This 774-nucleotide ribosomal RNA is filed under the name Alternaria didymospora. Its description in RNAcentral is "LSU rRNA". It matches the Rfam family "Eukaryotic large subunit ribosomal RNA", at positions 130 to 922 of the family's 3401-position model. The record is from RNAcentral. Lineage: Eukaryota; Fungi; Ascomycota; Dothideomycetes; Pleosporales; Pleosporaceae.
UUUAGAGUCCGAGUUGUAAUUUGCAGAGGGCGCUUUGGCUUUGGCAGCGGUCCAAGUUCCUUGGAACAGGACGUCACAGAGGGUGAGAAUCCCGUACGUGGUCGCUGGCUAUUGCCGUGUAAAGCCCCUUCGACGAGUCGAGUUGUUUGGGAAUGCAGCUCUAAAUGGGAGGUACAUUUCUUCUAAAGCUAAAUAUUGGCCAGAGACCGAUAGCGCACAAGUAGAGUGAUCGAAAGAUGAAAAGCACUUUGGAAAGAGAGUCAAACAGCACGUGAAAUUGUUAAAAGGGAAGCGCUUGCAGCCAGACUUGCUUACAGUUGCUCAUCCGGGCUUUUGCCCGGUGCACUCUUCUGUAGGCAGGCCAGCAUCAGUUUGGGCGGUAGGAUAAAGGUCUCUGUCACGUACCUCCUUUCGGGGAGGCCUUAUAGGGGAGACGACAUACUACCAGCCUGGACUGAGGUCCGCGCAUCUGCUAGGAUGCUGGCGUAAUGGCUGUAAGCGGCCCGUCUUGAAACACGGACCAAGGAGUCUAACAUCUAUGCGAGUGUUUGGGUGUCAAGCCCGAGCGCGUAAUGAAAGUGAACGGAGGUGGGAACCCGCAAGGGUGCACCAUCGACCGAUCCUGAUGUCUUCGGAAGGAUUUGAGUAAGAGCAUGGCUGUUGGGACCCGAAAGAUGGUGAACUAUGCUUGAAUAGGGUGAAGCCAGAGGAAACUCUGGUGGAGGCUCGCAGCGGUUCUGACGUGCAAAUCGAUCGUCAAAUUUGGGCAUAGGG